UGGGCCUAAAGCAUCACGUAGCGCGGCUCUGCUAAGUUUUGCAUGUKAAAUCUCCUACGCUCAACUKACAGGACUGCCUGGCAAUACUGCAGAGCUAGGAGAGUGGGAGAGGUAGACGGUACUCGGAGAGGAAGGGGURAAAUGCUUUGAUCUUUUGAUGACCACCUGUGGCGAAGGCGGUCUACCAGGAACACGUCCGACGGUGAGGGAUGAAAGCUGGGGGAGCAAACCGGAUUAGAUACCCGGGUAGUCCCAGCUGUAAACUAUGCAAACUCAGUGAUGCAUUGACUUGUGGUCAAUGCAGUGCUGCAGGGAAGCCGUUAAGUUUGCCGCCUGGGAAGUACGUACGCAAGUAUGAAACUCAAAGGGAAUUGACGG
This 378-nucleotide ribosomal RNA is filed under the name uncultured crenarchaeote. Its description in RNAcentral is "bacterial SSU rRNA". It matches the Rfam family "Archaeal small subunit ribosomal RNA", at positions 505 to 871 of the family's 1478-position model. The record is from RNAcentral. Lineage: Archaea; Thermoproteati; Thermoproteota.